This is a non-coding RNA of Clostridium sp. CAG:1024, 105 nucleotides long. The record is from Rfam. Lineage: Bacteria; Bacillati; Bacillota; Clostridia; Eubacteriales; Clostridiaceae.
GGAGGGGACUCUGGAGAAUCCCGUACAGCGGGUGCCGAAGGUGCAAGGCAGGCGAAUGCAAUUUUGCAGGCCGAAUCUCUCAGGCAAAAGGACAGAGUACCGAAU